Molecule: ribosomal RNA, 489 nt
Filed under: uncultured bacterium
Lineage: Bacteria
Description: partial 16S ribosomal RNA
Rfam family: Bacterial small subunit ribosomal RNA
Source: RNAcentral
AUUGAACGCUGGCGGCAGGCCUAACACAUGCGAGUCGAACGGUAACAGGAAGAAGCUUGCUUCUUUGCUGACGAGUGGCGGACGGGUGAGUAAUGUCUGGGAAACUGCCUGAUGGAGGGGGAUACUACUGGAAACGGUAGCUAAUACCGCAUAAUGUCGCAAGACCAAAGAGGGGGACCUUCGGGCCUCUUGCCAUCGGAUGUGCCCAGAUGGGAUUAGCUAGUAGGUGGGGUAACGGCUCACCUAGGCGACGAUCCCUAGCUGGUCUGAGAGGAUGACCGGCCACACUGGAACUGAGACACGGUCCAGACUCCUACGGGAGGCAGCAGUGGGGAAUAUUGCACAAUGGGCGCAAGCCUGAUGCAGCUAUGCCGCGUGUAUGAAGAAGGCCUUCGGGUUGUAAAGUACUUUCAGCGGGGAGGAAGGGAGUAAAGUUAAUACCUUUGCUCAUUGACGUUACCCGCAGAAGAAGCACCGGCUAACUCCGUG